Molecule: ribosomal RNA, 255 nt
Filed under: uncultured bacterium
Lineage: Bacteria
Description: partial 16S ribosomal RNA
Rfam family: Bacterial small subunit ribosomal RNA
Source: RNAcentral
UACAGAGGGGGCAAGCGUUGUUCGGAAUUACUGGGCGUAAAGGGCGCGUAGGCGGCCCGCUAAGUCGAACGUGAAAUCCCCGGGCUCAACCCGGGAACUGCGUCCGAUACUGGCGGGCUUGAAUCCGGGAGAGGGAUGCGGAAUUCCAGGUGUAGCGGUGAAAUGCGUAGAUAUCCGGAAGAACACCGGUGGCGAAGGCGGCCUGCUGGGCAGUUUAGCUGACACUGAGGCGCGACAGCGUGGGGAGCAAACAGG